GAAAUUUAACUUUUUUCGCUGCUUAGCUAAAAAAUGUUAAUCGGAAGAAGCAAAAGUGGAUGGCGUCGUGACAGUAAGAUGGUAUCGAUAUGAUCUAGUCUCAAUUAAGUUAGUCGCAGACUGUUUACCGUUUAACUCCUGUCCCAAUCUAAUCUAGUGGGUUCAAAAAGAAGGGACCGCGCUGGAAACAUGAGUGGAUUAAAAGGAUCAGCCCUUUUUAAAUUAAUAGUUGAAGUGGUAACCAGCUAAAAGUCGUAACCUGCUCGUAUGAAAAGAUUUCUCGACGUGAAAUUGUUAAUUUUAUUAAACGCCAAAAAACAGAAUUCGCUCAAGAAACAGAAAAGAAAAAGAAAGAUGAAAAAAUAUUCUGUUGA
Molecule: long non-coding RNA, 374 nt
Organism: Hydra vulgaris (swiftwater hydra)
Lineage: Eukaryota; Metazoa; Cnidaria; Hydrozoa; Anthoathecata; Hydridae
Source: RefSeq, a predicted model, not a curated record